AAGCAGCCAUCAUUUAAAGAAAGCGUAAUAGCUCACUGGUCGAGUCGGCCUGCGCGGAAGAUGUAACGGGGCUAAACCAUGCACCGAAGCUGCGGCAGCGAACGUAUCACUUAAAGCGAUUCAGCGGGUUACGAUUGACGGAGCGAAGCGACGUCAAAGCGUAUACAAAGUCGAGUCGGUUUAAGGAUACGUUCGUUGGGUAGGGGAGCGUUCUGUAAGCCUGUGAAGGUGUGUCGUGAGGCAUGCUGGAGGUAUCAGAAGUGCGAAUGCUGACAUAAGUAACGAUAAAGCGGGUGAAAAGCCCGCUCGCC
RNAcentral lists this ribosomal RNA (311 nucleotides) under Salmonella enterica subsp. enterica serovar Ouakam. RNAcentral describes it as "partial 23S ribosomal RNA". It matches the Rfam family "Bacterial large subunit ribosomal RNA", at positions 1110 to 1338 of the family's 2925-position model. Lineage: Bacteria; Pseudomonadati; Pseudomonadota; Gammaproteobacteria; Enterobacterales; Enterobacteriaceae. The record is from RNAcentral.